Anoplopoma fimbria (sablefish) is the source of this 150-nucleotide long non-coding RNA. RefSeq lists it as uncharacterized. Lineage: Eukaryota; Metazoa; Chordata; Actinopteri; Perciformes; Anoplopomatidae. The transcript is spliced from 3 exons. The record is from RefSeq and is a predicted model, not a curated record.
AAAACCUGGUCCACAUGCUCAUAGACUCUCUCAUCUUCCCCACAGCUUGACUUUCACGCUGCAUUACCUUCUAUUGGACGAUCUCCAAACGUUGAAUUGCAUGCUAGAAGUUUGACUAUACAUUCUGUCACUGUUGUGCAAUCACUGGUU